GCCCCCGUAGCUCAGUCGGAUAGAGCGGAUCUCUCCUAAAGAUCAGGUCGCAGGUUCGAUUCCUGUCGGGGGCACCG
RNAcentral lists this transfer RNA (77 nucleotides) under Tsukamurella conjunctivitidis. RNAcentral describes it as "Tsukamurella sp. HKU72 tRNA-Arg". It matches the Rfam family "tRNA". Rfam says of the family: Transfer RNA (tRNA) molecules are approximately 80 nucleotides in length. Their secondary structure includes four short double-helical elements and three loops (D, anti-codon, and T loops). Lineage: Bacteria; Bacillati; Actinomycetota; Actinomycetes; Mycobacteriales; Tsukamurellaceae. The record is from RNAcentral.